CCAUGAUGAGAGAUUGGAAGGGAGGCCUUUGGUAAAACACCCUUGUUCUCUCCAAGCCAUGCUCCAGCCCUGUCCUUCAUCACCCCGACCUUCCUGCCCUGGGACAUCCAAGUCAGUCUGAGGUCCCAGGAAUUCACACUAGACUUGUCCUAGAAUGACCCUGACUCCCUGCCAAGGGCUGGGUGGAGCCAGUCUUCCAAGGACAGGGUAUUUACCUGGGCUCCAUUGUUGAGCCUUUCAGCCAAAGCUCCUGGAGAUGAAGGUGGGGUGGGGAGGGGACCUUGGAAUCUACUACUAACUAUACCUAUGGCCAUUGGGAGGACUGACAUUAACCCAUAUCUUUGAUAGAGUACUAGGCUAAGUUAGGGACAUUUACAGGGGAAAAACCAAAGUGGAGGGCACUUUUCCGGGGACUGGAAGCUCUUGAGGAGAAGGCCAUAAAUUAAAAUGGUAAAUAAUCUCAAGGAAGGCCCCAUAUAGACCAGCCUAGAGAGGAAGAAAGGACUCCAAGUUACCCAUCCUCUGCAAAGCGUCACCAGGAAGAGAAUACAGUCCUGGGGCUCCUUCCCUAGCCUACACUAUCCCCCCCAAACGUGUGCCCUUUUGGCACUGGUCAAUCUAGGUUCCUCUUGCUCCAUACCAAACACCCCCCCACCCCAAUCAGUUCUCUUCCUUGGCCCCUUUAGCUUCUCCCUCCCCUCCCUGGGGUGGGCGUUUCUCUACUGACAGCAUUGACAGGAAAUGCUUCUCAUUCCAUCCUCCAGCUCUGGGGCUCCCAGGGAUAGACAGAUAGACCUCCCCCUUCCCGCCUCUGGAGAGAAACAUAGCCCAAGGUCCGGGAGGCCACAGAAGGAGAGGAAAAGGGGUGGGUGAUUCUCGGUCCAGCUCUUCUCCACCUCCCUUUCCCAAGGGGACAUCACGUGUGCUGGAGGGGGGAGGCAGGGAUACUGAAGGUUGGGGGAGGGAUGUGGAAACAGCUGAUUCGUCCAGAGGCCACACACUUUCCAGCAAUCAGCUGUUACCAGGGCUAAAAGCAGGAAGUUUCCUUAAAGGGACAAGCUGCUUCUGCCCGGCCUGAGAGUCACUGAAUCUUAGAGCUGGAAAGAUCUCUAAGAUCUAGUCCAACCCCCUCGUUUGACAGAUAAGGAAACAGUCUUUCCUCUAUCUCCCUCCCAAGCCCAAUUUGAGCUGAAGAAUAUGCCGAGGGCAGAAACCACCGCUGGAAGAGGAAAGAAAGCGGACCUAGGGGGAAGGAAAGUCUGACUUUAAGCCAGGUGACCCUGUUCGAGUCAUCACCCCUCUCAGACUCAGUUUCCUCAUCUGGAAAACGAGGGGGCUGAAACCAAGGGCAUCUAAGGUCUCUUUCAAACUCGAAAUCUAUGUUCCUAUCAUCUGUGUCUCAGUCUCCUCUGUAAAAGAAGGUUGAACCUAAUGGGCUCUUAGAUCCUUUCCAGCUAUAAAUCAUUAUUAGCCUUUAAGCCCUGGCUGCACAUUCAGCUCCUACCCUUCCCCCCCUCCAGGUAUGUCCCUUUAAAUAACCUGUAAAGUCAUCGACUCAGAGUCGCUUUUGCCAAGUCAUUGGGUUCAGCUAAGUUUGCCUAUCCUUCCCACUCUGGGCUCUGAUUGGUCCCUGGGGAAGAAGCUGCUUCCUUAUUGGCCUUCACCUUUGCAACAGCUCCUAGCUUGAGUCAAGGGAAGGAUUUUUUUUUCUUUCUGAAGGGAGGGGUGAGGAAGGAGGGAGGGGGAGCAGGCACCCCUCCAGCUCAGCUAGUUCCCAGGUUUGUGGCAGGAAGCCGCCCCCACCCAGCUGAGGGCUGAGCUGAAGCAUCUCCACAGAAGCCGUCCCAGGGGAGGUUUGGGGUUCAUUUGUUGUUGGGCCUGGAAUCCCUCAGCCAAGGAGAAGGUCCAUAGAGAAAGGCAGAAGCCAGAACCGCUGAAGGUGGUUGGGGCUGUACUGAGCCCUUUUCUCCGUGCCCACCGUCACACCUCCCGGCAGACUUUCCCCAUUCAGGGACUUUAAAGUGAGGAUCCUUUGGAACACUCAUGCUCAUAACUGUCUGCCCCCUGACCCCACCCCUCUCUUCCAUGAAACUGAUAAGCCGGCUGUCCAGGGUUUACUCUUUCGCCUCCCUUUCCCCUCUUCCUUCCCCCAGGAAUAGCUGGUAACCACGUUUAGGUGAGUGCUUCUCUCCGUAGGCUGUGCUUAUCCAGAGGUCAAGCACUGCCAAGCCCUGCCCCCCGUGCCUCGGGGUACAAGUUCUUCCCCCUCCACGUGUCGAGGCCUCUCCUUUUCAGUUGUGGCCACCCUUCCCUCGGGGGGCUCCUGCCCCAACUCCUCCUCCACGGAGGCUGAGUGGGAAUCCCCUCCUGCCCCUGCCACUUAGCCCACUCUUGGGGCCCAUCUAAGGGGAGCAGGUUUUCCCCCUUGGGGGAGGGGCGCUGGCCCUUUAAGGACUUUUCUGGGCUAGGAUCCGGGUUGAGUUUAAAAAUGCCAACUCACAGAGCGCCCGGGAUGCUGGGAACUGUAGUGCCAGCGUGAGAACUACGCUAGCCGACAUGCACUGCGCCCACCAUCACUGUCUUCCUCUUUGUCUCCAAGUAGCUGGUUGGCUUAGCGGAGCGCUAAUCAAAAUAAGAAGCCUGAACUGAGGGCUGGGUGUGGGUCUUUCCACCUAUUGGCCAUCUCGCGAGUUGGGAGGCAUGGUUCAAAGCCGCUGUGCUCGGAAGGAAGCGGAUGACCUCGGUGUCAAUCAGAGCUGAAAUGGCCUGGUAGGCGGGGACAAGGGCGGGGUUGGAGCUCCCUGAGGCGUGGCCACGUUCGCCAUCGGUGGGUGGUGAUUGGCUGAGGGCGGUGCAACCGGGUGUCGUGCGUCACGACGCCGCCAGCUGAUCGGAGGCUGGAGCCGGUGUAUGCUGGGCACUGGGGAGAGACGGCGGCGCCGGCCGAGGGGAGCGGACGCGUGGGAUUCGCUCUCUCCCAAUACAGCUCCCCCCCAGCUCUCGGGCUCCGGCGCCCCCGCCCGGGACCAGGAUCCUGUGCCCCCACACACACUCCUGGCCGAGCCACAGCAGUUCUUCAGUGGCGAGCUUUAUGUCUUGUCCCAGCUAAAGCUGCCAGUUGAAGAACUGCUGAGCUCUGCUCCUGUCUUCGAGGACUGAGGAAGAGCCGCUGCCCUGCCAUCUAGAAGUCUGUUCCAGGAAAACUGGCCUGCUACCUGUUCCCGGUACAUAACAUUCCAUCUGCUGCCUUUGUACAGGUGGCCCCCGAAGUCUGGAAUUCUCCCUCCUCAAAUCAAUCCCUAGCCUCUUUCAGUGACCAACUCAGGUGCCCCCUCCUGCCUGCCUUGCUCAGGGUCAAUGGCUAGACUCUAGCAUUCGGCUCGAAGUCAGAAAUACCUGAGUUCAUACCCCACCCAGCACACCCACUGCUUCAUCCUAGGCAAGUUAGCUUCACCCGUCGCCUGGGAAAAGAAGGACUCACAUUCAGCUAUCUGAGGUUUCCCAUCCAGUUCUAAAUGGAUGAUCAUUCGGUCCCCCUCAGUUAUUAGCACUUGCUGCUGUUGGAAUUACAUGAUUGCUUUGUAUUUGUUUUUGUACCGGUUUUUCCUCCUCCUCCUUGUCCUCUAGAAUGUAAGCUCACGGAGGGCAGGGACUGCUUCUUGUUCGUCUUUAUACCGCUAGCGCUGGAGGUGCUUAAUAAACGCUUGUUGGUUGAC
Phascolarctos cinereus (koala) is the source of this 3716-nucleotide long non-coding RNA. RefSeq lists it as uncharacterized. The record is from RefSeq and is a predicted model, not a curated record. Lineage: Eukaryota; Metazoa; Chordata; Mammalia; Diprotodontia; Phascolarctidae.